This 127-nucleotide small RNA is filed under the name Marmota monax (woodchuck). Lineage: Eukaryota; Metazoa; Chordata; Mammalia; Rodentia; Sciuridae. The record is from RNAcentral.
GCUGGGUGUGGUGGCUCAUGCUUGUAAUCCCAGCCACUCAGGAGGCUAAGACAGGAGGAUUACGAAUCCAGUGCCAACCCCAGCAAUUUAGUGAGGCCCUGAGCAACUUAGUGAGACCCUGUCUUAA